RNAcentral lists this long non-coding RNA (500 nucleotides) under Monodelphis domestica (gray short-tailed opossum). Its description in RNAcentral is "lncRNA (ENSMODG00000034431.2)". The record is from RNAcentral. Lineage: Eukaryota; Metazoa; Chordata; Mammalia; Didelphimorphia; Didelphidae.
AACAGUUUUUCAACUGUGAGUCUGAAGCUGGAGGUCAAGACUGAAGGUGUGACUCUGGGACUCUCCCUGGACAAACCCAUCUUUCAAGCUGCCUGCCUUAGAAUAACAUCAAGACAAGGUUGGGAAGAAAUUCUCCAUUCAUUCUGGUGGACAGAGUGAUUUUGGAAAAGAAUUUCUCAUUCCAAGAGUUUCUACGGACUCUUCAACUGGAUUUCUGCUGCUUGACCCACCAAGGACUCUGUGAAUAUUGUUCAGGAGUGUUGGACUUCCCUUCCCUACCUGAAAAGCUAUCAGAAGCAGCUUCAGAUAAUUUGACUAAUAUCCAUUCACUUGUGCUCAAAGGAAUUUGGAAGAGUUCAAAUGAGAGCAGAUUAUUUAGGAAGAAUGAUCUGUACAGUUUAACAAAUCCAGAUUAUAAGGAACUUCCAAAGAAAAAAUGUUUCAAGGCAUCUAAUUAUGAUGGGAGAAGAUUCAUUCAAAUGAAAAGAACACUGAUCUGA